UGGGAUGAAGCGGGGGCGCGCAGCGCUGGUACAUCAGUCGCUGAGCUGCUGGGGACCGUAGAGCGUUUCCAUCCUGAGGCCGGCGCGCAGACCUCUGGUCCUGGAGGCUCCCGGUUCCCGGGCACUGCCUCCAGCCGUCGUCAUCGCGGCGGCCCGCCGUUCCCCAGCUCCGAGCGGCCGAGGUCACCAUGAGUCCGGGGUUCCGCCGGGCCGUCGUCGGGCAGGGGGCGGCGGCCGCCGUGCAAUUGCUGGUCACCCUGAGCUUCCUCCCAAGUCUCGUCAAGACCCAGGUGACUGGAGUUCUGGAUGAUUGCUUGUGUGACAUUGACAGCAUUGAUAACUUCAACACCUACAAAAUCUUCCCCAAGUUAAAAAAGUUACAAGAGCGAGACUAUUUUCGUUAUUACAAGGUUAAUCUGAAGCGACCAUGUCCUUUCUGGGCAGAAGAUGGCCACUGCUCAAUAAAAGAUUGUCAUGUGGAGCCCUGUCCAGAGAGUAAAAUUCCAGUUGGAAUUAAAGCUGGGCGUUCAAAUAAGUAUUCACAGGCAGCAAACAAUACCAAGGAACUGGAAGACUGUGAGCAGGCCAACAAGCUGGGCGCCAUCAAUAGUACAUUAAGUAAUGAAAGCAAAGAAGCAUUCAUUGACUGGGCAAGAUAUGACGACUCACAGGAUCACUUUUGUGAACUUGAUGAUGAGCGCUCCCCUGCUGCGCAGUACGUGGACCUGCUGCUGAACCCAGAGCGGUACACUGGCUACAAGGGCUCCUCGGCAUGGAGGGUGUGGAACAGCAUCUACGAGGAGAACUGCUUCAAGCCUCGGUCUGUGUAUCGUCCUUUAAAUCCUCUGGCACCCAGCCGAGGGGAAGAUGAUGGAGAAUCAUUCUAUACCUGGCUAGAAGGUUUGUGUCUUGAGAAGAGAGUAUUCUAUAAGCUUAUAUCAGGACUACAUGCCAGCAUCAAUUUACAUCUGUGUGCAAAUUAUCUUCUGGAAGAAACCUGGGGUAAACCUAGUUGGGGACCUAACAUCAAAGAAUUCAAACGCCGCUUUGAUCCUGUGGAAACAAAGGGGGAGGGUCCAAGAAGGCUGAAGAAUCUCUACUUUUUAUACUUGAUUGAGCUUCGUGCUUUGUCAAAGGUGGCCCCUUAUUUUGAGCGCUCAAUUGUUGAUCUUUACACUGGCAACUUGGAAGAAGAUGCCGACACCAAGACUCUUCUUCUUAGCAUCUUUCAGGACACAAAGUCUUUUCCCAUGCACUUUGAUGAGAAAUCCAUGUUUGCAGGUGACAAGAAGGGGGCCAAGUCAUUAAAGGAGGAAUUCCGGUUACAUUUCAAGAACAUCUCCCGUAUCAUGGACUGUGUGGGAUGUGAUAAAUGCAGACUGUGGGGGAAAUUACAGACUCAGGGUUUAGGAACUGCCUUGAAGAUACUAUUCUCUGAAAAAGAAAUCCAGAAACUUCCGGAGAACAGUCCAUCUAAAGGCUUCCAGCUCACUCGGCAGGAAAUAGUUGCUCUUUUAAAUGCUUUUGGAAGGCUUUCUACAAGCAUAAGAGAAUUACAGAACUUUAAAGCGUUAUUACAGCACAGGAGGUAAUGAAGACUUUUCUAUGUCUCUGUAGACAUAACGGACUGUGUGAAGCCUUUUAGCUUUGGACCUUGAGCAGACAAAGUGUCUAAGACUUCAAGAAUUCUGAACUCUUACAGAGAAAAUUCAAAUGUUCACUUGAAUAUUUAUGAUCCUUAAUAGAAUAUCGACUAGAGAUAUUUAUAAAUGAAGUAUAUACUUUAAAAUUGUAAGUUAUACUAAUCCCAUGUUUGUUUCACAUUGGUUUUGUUUGUAUUGUAUUACCCUGCGUUCCUUGUUGUCAAACUUUAAAUGACUGUUUAUCCUGAGAAGACUAUUCAGUCUGUGAUAGAAGAACUAGGGAACCAGUGCGCCUAGGGCUGGUCUCAGUGACAGAAAGUUGACAGUGCUGUAGUGUUUCCACCUUGCUGACACUGUGUGUCCUUCUGUGAUACGGGGCUGUCACUAUAAUGAAUAGGCCUUUCAGUGACUAGUGAGAGAGGUUCUGGAUGAUUUCCCAGGACUCAACCACUUUAAGAUGUUUAAUUGCUGUUGCUGCUUUGGUUUUGGCCUAAAGGGACCUGCCUUGGUGGAAGUGGGUAAGUGCCCUCCCGUGCUUACUUGGCCAGAUGUCCUGUGUACACCAGGCCGGCUCAGAGUGGAGUGUCCGUUCCCUAAAGCCUACAGUUCCUCUUCUUUGGACUUCUUCAUUCCUUUCCUAAUUAUAAACAUUCUCAGUUUCUUUAUGAAAAGCCCUAUUUAUUUAAUGGAUUGUUUAUUCAUAAAAUUUGAAUGGGAUCCUGUGGGUUUAUAAUGCUAAUGCAUUAUACACAAAUUUUGCUGUUUUAAAGUGCAUUUUCAAUAUUUGAUUUUGACACAAUCUAUGCAAUCCUCUACCUCUUGGUGUGAUUCUGUCUGGUGAGAUGCUUUGGCAGGCGUGUCACUUCCCCCUUCUCCAUCUUCAGUUCAUCCCAGAUCAGCCGUCCAUGGUGUGACUUGAGACAGUAGAGGACUGGAAGGCCUAGACUGUCAUUUUUUAAACCUGGGAUUUAAAGUCUUUAAAUAUUUUAAAUUUUGGUUCUUCUAAAGGUGGCAGUGGAUAAUGAAAUUACUUGAAAGGUUUUUACCUGUGUGGAAGUAAUGCGAGUCCAAAGUCUCGCUUUUCCUUAGAGUCCGUCUUUCUGAAGUAAACAGUGCCACUGUGUAUAAGGAAAGACAGCUGUGCUGGUCUUCUUGGCACUGCCUUCAGCUGGACAUCUGGACACAGUUGACAGUAGGCCUCCCCGCAGUUGCAGAAGCCAAGGCUAGUCACCAGAAGGCUCGGACCAGGUACACGGUGUCAUGGAAAUUCCGUGGUACAAGCCAAGCACAGAAAUCCACAUGUCCUUUAUUUGAAGUAACAUCUACAGGUGCAACUUUGAGUUUUCGGAGAAUUCCAUAUAAUUCACUGUUGUAUCCACCAGAAUCUAGACCAUGAAUUAAAGUACAUGUU
Molecule: RNA transcript, 3054 nt
Organism: Alexandromys fortis (reed vole)
Lineage: Eukaryota; Metazoa; Chordata; Mammalia; Rodentia; Cricetidae
Gene: Ero1b
Gene name: endoplasmic reticulum oxidoreductase 1 beta
Exons: 17
Source: RefSeq, a predicted model, not a curated record